Long non-coding RNA from Armigeres subalbatus, 650 nucleotides. RefSeq lists it as uncharacterized. The transcript has 3 exons. NCBI's taxonomy places the organism in Eukaryota, Metazoa, Arthropoda, Insecta, Diptera, Culicidae. The record is from RefSeq and is a predicted model, not a curated record.
GCUAAAUUUUGUACGGUUAAACUAAAAAAGUAUAUUGUUGAUUCCAACAAUCGACUUAUUAUUGAAAUAAAAAGAUUUGAUUGUUGAUUUAACAAUAUUGUGUGUUUAAAACAACAAUAUUAUUUUUAUUUCAAUCGAUUUUAUUUUUUUCUAGUUUGCGGUAAUGGGAAUAAGCGUGUAUUUAUUUUGUUUUCAUUUUAUAUUUUUCACCUGGCCUCAAAUAAAUAUAAGCCGUUGGUUUAAAGUUUAUUAAAAGAUUUCCCCGUUAUAUGAAAAUCACUGCUAAGAAAAUUCAGCAACGUUGUGAUGCAAACAUAUGUGUAUACCUAUAGAAUGCAGCUCCAGAACCGAGUCCAGAACCAGAAAAGGGAAGGCAGAACCAGAAAAGUACUACGGCUACCUUUGUUGUUGGGGCGUGAAACCACUACCUACGUCCAUCGAUCGAGGCGUCCAUUGAGUGGAACUUUUGUUUUAUUGGCUUUCCCUCAGCCUCCUCCAUGUAUUCCUGACUAAACAGAUGGGGAAAAGACCAGGAUUUUUUGCAGUCAUGUGCAACCACUUAUUCCAUACAACAUCAUAAACAACAGCAGAUUGACUAACAUAAAUGGUAUAAAUAUUUUAAUAAAAUGAUAAAAUAAAUGCUUACUGAG